This 1264-nucleotide long non-coding RNA is filed under the name Canis lupus dingo (dingo). RNAcentral describes it as "lncRNA (ENSCAFG00020025124.1)". Lineage: Eukaryota; Metazoa; Chordata; Mammalia; Carnivora; Canidae. The record is from RNAcentral.
GGCGGCGGCUCUCAGACUGCCGAGCGGGAAGCCUCCGCGGACCACUCCAACCGGGCCUCGGGGCCUCCUUUUUUAUUUUUUUGAAACGGACUCCGAGUGCGGAGUUCUCCUGGCCCCGCGCCUCGGUUGAAGGAUCACCGCCGCGGUAGAGCUGUUUCCCGACCCCCGCUCCACAGCCACCACCCACGCCGAAACCAAACCACCACCAACAAAAAAUCCAGCUUUGGGCCCCUCUUUUGGAAUCUCUAGCGCAGCACGGAACUCUUCACCCCGCCUCGCAGGGUCCAGACUAGGUGACAGGAAACAUUUGAGGGAAAGACUGUUUGAGGUGGUGCAGUGAGGAAGAAAGACGGUAAUGGGGGCAUGACCGGGCCUCACCCGACCAAGCCGAUGGCCAACGCAGCAGAGAGCCCGCGGUACUGCUCUGAACGCUAUUUGAUCCAGGCCGCCCCUUGCACCCGGAUGUUCUUCCUUGUUGGAACCUGCCACGUCAUGGCGGGAGAAGAUUCUACGUCACCCUUCCUUGACCCUUCAUCCACCUCAGGAAAGCAUUGGGGUCAACCGCCCUGCUUCUGGUGAAGCUAUUUGCUCCUAAUGCUAAGCAGAUGUACAUGGUUAAUCACUUGAAAGAGAGCCCAGCAGAAGAGAAGGGACAUGUGCUGGAGGGAAGUGCCAGGAGAGCCCAUGGGGACAUACAAGAUUUGGCAGACCUGUGCUCCAGCAAGCUUGAUGCUGUCAUUAUACUGGUGGUUUUGAGUGGCCCAGAACUGCCCUGUCAACAGUUCUGUAAAGGACUCUUUCAAGUUACAUUUCCCAUGUGCUGGCAGCUAACACCUUCCUGCUUGUGAGGUCACAGUGUGUCAGGGUAAUAAUGUAAUUGGAGUGGGGGAAAAGAAUGAAAAGCUUACUGCUGGCCAAGAGGUUCUACAGUACUUUCCCAUUUUCCUUCCUCCAAAUGAAUAUAAAUGUGACUGCUCUUCUGGUAGCUCAACAAAUGAUCUUUCAUUUUGGGGCUGCCAUAUUUGGUAAUUGACACUGGGUGGGGUGGGAGUGGACAUGGUAAGGGAUGGUUCUUUAAGGUGAGGAGACCAGAUGGCUUUAAAUCAUAGGGAAAAUGUAUUCUUUCAAAAUAUACUGGCCUACUCUGUAAGAAAAAAAUUUCAAUAUAGCCGUUCUUUUGUAUGAUAUCAUUCAGCUGUAUGGAUCAAAUUAUCCUUGCUUUAAUGAUUUCCUAUUGAUCCUAGUACACACAGCCUUCAUUUCU